Molecule: ribosomal RNA, 1665 nt
Filed under: human gut metagenome
Description: bacterial LSU rRNA
Rfam family: Bacterial large subunit ribosomal RNA
Source: RNAcentral
AGAAAUUCCAAUCGAACUCGGAUAUAGCUGGUUCUCCCCGAAAUAGCUUUAGGGCUAGCGUCGAGGCUUAGUCAUGUGGAGGUAGAGCACUGAAUGUACGAUGGCCCCAUCCCGGGGUACUGAGUAUAAUCAAACUCCGAAUGCCAUGAUAAUAUACUCGGCAGUCAGACUGUGGGUGAUAAGGUCCAUGGUCAAAAGGGAAACAGCCCAGACCGCCAGUUAAGGUCCCAAAAUGUAUGCUAAGUGGAAAAGGAUGUGGGGAUGCACAGACAACUAGGAGGUUGGCUCAGAAGCAGCCACCCUUCAAAGAGUGCGUAACAGCUCACUAGUCGAGUGACCCUGCGCCGAAAAUGUACCGGGGCUAAGCAUACUACCGAAGCUGCGGAUUUGUAGAGAUACAAGUGGUAGGGGAGCGUUGCAUGCACGUGGAAGCCAUAUCGUGAGGAGUGGUGGAGAGCAUGGAAGUGAGAAUGCCGGUGUGAGUAGCGAGAUGUAGGUGAGAAUCCUACACACCGAUAGCCCAAGGAUUCCAGGGGAAGGUUCGUCCGCCCUGGGUAAGUCGGGACCUAACGCGAGGCCGAAAGGCGUAGUGGAUGGAAAACAGGCAGAUAUUCCUGUACCCGCGAUGGGAAGUGAAGGAAUGACGGAGAAGGCUAGCAUGACCCACUGAAUGGAUUGUGGGCGAAGCGGAGCAGCAGGUAUGUAGUGAAAUGCGCAUACGAAAUGCAGGACGUGAUAGGUAAGUGAACGUUUCGACAAGUAACGAAGCAUGUGAGGCCAGCUUCCAAGAAAAGUUUCUAAGCGAUUAAUCCCAUAGCGGCCCGUACCAAAACCGACACAGGUGGGCAAGGAGAGGAUCCUGAGGUGAGCGAGAGAACUGUUGCCAAGGAACUCGGCAAAAUGACUCCGUAAGUUAGCGAUAAGGAGUGCUUAUGUAAAAGUAAGCCGCAGUGAAGAGGCCCAAGCGACUGUUUAACUAAAACACAGCUCUCUGCGAAGUCGCAAGACGAAGUAUAGGGGGUGACGCCUGCCCGGUGCUGGAAGGUUAAGAGGAUUUGUCAGUCGCAAGAUGAAGCAAUGAAUUGAAGCCCCAGUGAACGGCGGCCGUAACUAUAACGGUCCUAAGGUAGCGAAAUUCCUUGUCAGGUAAGUUCUGACCCGCACGAAAGGCGUAACGAUUUGGGCGCUGUCUCGGCAGCAGACUCGGUGAAAUCUUAGUACCUGUGAAAAUGCAGGUUACCCGCAACUAGACGGAAAGACCCCAUGGAGCUUUACUGUAGCUUGAUAUUGAGCUUUGAUCAGAGAUGUACAGGAUAGGUGGGAGACGAAGAGACGUGCACGCCAGUGUACGAGGAGUCGACGUUGGGAUACCACUCUUGUCUGAUUGAAGUUCUAACCUACACCCAUGAACUGGGUGAGGGACCGUGUCAGGCAGGCAGUUUGACUGGGGCGGUCGCCUCCUAAAGAGUAACGGAGGCGCCCAAAGGUACGCUCAGAUUGGAUGGAAAUCAAUCGACGAGUGCAAAUGCAGAAGCGUGCUUGACUGUGAGACAAACAAGUCGAACAGGGACGAAAGUCGGGAUUAGUGAUCCGGCGGUGCCGAAUGGAAGGGCCGUCGCUCAACGGAUAAAAGCUACCCUGGGGAUAACAGGCUGAUCUCCCCCA